This 253-nucleotide ribosomal RNA is filed under the name uncultured bacterium. RNAcentral's name for it is "partial 16S ribosomal RNA". It matches the Rfam family "Archaeal small subunit ribosomal RNA", at positions 474 to 727 of the family's 1478-position model. The record is from RNAcentral.
UACCAGCACCCCGAGCGGUCGGGACGAUUAUUGGGCCUAAAGCAUCCGUAGCCGGUCCUACAAGUCUUCCGUUAAAUCCACCUGCUUAACAGAUGGGCUGCGGAAGAUACUAUAGGGCUAGGAGGCGGGAGAGGCAAGCGGUACUCAGUGGGUAGGGGUAAAAUCCUCUGAUCCAUUGAAGACCACCAGUGGCGAAGGCGGCUUGCCAGAACGCGCUCGACGGUGAGGGAUGAAAGCUGGGGGAGCAAACCGG